GUCGUGAGAUGUUGGGUUAAGUCCCGCAACGAGCGCAACCCUCGUUCUAUGUUGCCAGCGGAUAAUGCUGGGGACUCAUAGGAGACUGCCGGGGUCAACUCGGAGGAAGGUGGGGACGACGUCAAGUCAUCAUGCCCCUUAUGUCCAGGGCUGCACACAUGCUACAAUGGCCGGUACAAAGGGCAGCGAAACCGCAAGGUAGAGCGAAUCCCAAAAAGCCGGUCUCAGUUCGGAUUGGGGUCUGCAACUCGACCCCAUGAAGUCGGAGUCGCUAGUAAUCGCAGAUCAGCAACGCUGCGGUGAAUACGUUCCCGGGCCUUGUACACACCGCCCGUCACGUCACGAAAGUCGGUAACACCCGAAGCCAGUGGCCCAACCCGUAAGGGAGGGAGCUGUCGAAGGUGGGAUCGGCGAUUGGGACGAAGUCGUAACAAGGUAGCCGUACCGGAAGGUGCGGCUGGAUCACCUCCUUUCUAAGGAGCACCGGCAGGGGCGAAUGUCCCCUGUCCAGCUCAUGGGUGGAACACUGACUAUUCGGCCGCGGUCGCCUCGAUCCGGCACCUAGUACAGCCUCUUCGGAGGUGGGAACGGUGCUGGCCACAGGCGUCGCGGCCGGGCACGUUGUUGGGUCCUGAGGGAACGGAGACGUUCGCUCAGCCCGAAAGGCGCCGGCCGGUCUCGACCGUCCCGGCGCUUUUCUACGGACAGGACCGAUCGUGCGUCGUACCGCGUUCUCCGGAACGGACUGGCGGCGGGAAGUUGCGAUCGGGACCGCCCGCACCUUGAGAACUGCACAGUGGACGCGAGCAUCUUUGUGGCCAAGCUAGUAAGGGCGCACGGUGGAUGCCUUGGCACCAGGAGCCGAUGAAGGACGUAGGAGGCUGCGAUAAGCCUCGGGGAGCUGCCAACCGAGCUGUGAUCCGAGGAUUU
This 930-nucleotide small RNA is filed under the name uncultured Nocardioides sp. Its description in RNAcentral is "bacterial SSU rRNA". The stretch from base 1 to 473 matches the Rfam family "Bacterial small subunit ribosomal RNA", at positions 1064 to 1533 of the family's 1533-position model. The record is from RNAcentral. Lineage: Bacteria; Bacillati; Actinomycetota; Actinomycetes; Propionibacteriales; Nocardioidaceae.